This 146-nucleotide unclassified non-coding RNA is filed under the name uncultured Venturiaceae. RNAcentral describes it as "sequence contains ITS2". The record is from RNAcentral. Lineage: Eukaryota; Fungi; Ascomycota; Dothideomycetes; Venturiales; Venturiaceae.
CAAACCUCAAGCCUUGCUUGGUGAUGGGUCCCGCCUGCGUGGCGGGCCCGAAACUCGUGGGCGCCUCAGAUCGGACUCCAAGCGUAGCAAAACCCUCGCUUGCGGACGACCGGUCAGAGGCCGCCCCGGACCCCAAAUUUAUCAAU